This 492-nucleotide ribosomal RNA is filed under the name uncultured bacterium. Its description in RNAcentral is "bacterial SSU rRNA". It matches the Rfam family "Bacterial small subunit ribosomal RNA", at positions 28 to 509 of the family's 1533-position model. The record is from RNAcentral.
GAUGAACGCUAGCGACAGGCCUAACACAUGCAAGUCGAGGGGCAGCAUAAAGGUAGCAAUACUUUGGUGGCGACCGGCGCACGGGUGAGUAACACGUAUGCAACCUACCUGUAAGAGGGGAAUAACCCGGAGAAAUUCGGACUAAUACCGCAUAAUACUGAUUAUCUGCAUGGAUUGAUCAGUUAAACAUUUAUGGCUUACAGAUGGGCAUGCGUAUGAUUAGAUAGUUGGUAAGGUAACGGCUUACCAAGGCGACGAUCAGUAGCCGACCUGAGAGGGUGACCGGCCACACUGGAACUGAGACACGGUCCAGACUCCUACGGGAGGCAGCAGUGGGGAAUUUUGGACAAUGGGCGCAAGCCUGAUCCAGCAAUGCCGCGUGCAGGAUGAAGGCCUUCGGGUUGUAAACUGCUUUAGUGCGGGAGCAAUAAGGUCCACGAGUGGACCGAUGAGAGUACCGCAAGAAUAAGCAAGUCGGCUAACCUCCGUACG